Small nucleolar RNA from Rattus norvegicus (Norway rat), 127 nucleotides. Ensembl annotates it as small nucleolar RNA SNORA22. NCBI's taxonomy places the organism in Eukaryota, Metazoa, Chordata, Mammalia, Rodentia, Muridae. The record is from Ensembl.
CUGCACAGUGAACACCCAAGUGUGCUCUGUAGUUCCCUUGGCCUUGACUUUGUGCUAAAGUCUUUUCUUUUCCUCUGCAUUGAAAGUACUGUGUCCUUUUAAAUGUAUUCAGAAAAUCAGCACACCA